RNAcentral lists this transfer RNA (541 nucleotides) under uncultured cyanobacterium. Its description in RNAcentral is "partial 16S-23S ribosomal RNA intergenic spacer". The stretch from base 212 to 284 matches the Rfam family "tRNA". Lineage: Bacteria; Bacillati; Cyanobacteriota. The record is from RNAcentral.
CAGGGAGACAACAAAAUGUUUAAUAUUAUUAUUUUGUCACCUUAGGUCGAUCGGUAUCUCACGUUCUUAAUUUAUUAAGAAUUUCAUUUCCUAAGUUUUUCUAGGUCACACCCAUUAUUUUUCCUGGGCCAUUAGCUCAGGUGGUUAGAGCGCACCCCUGAUAAGGGUGAGGUCCCUGGUUCAAGUCCAGGAUGGCCCAUAUCUCUAUGUUGGGGGUAUAGCUCAGUUGGUAGAGCGCCUGCUUUGCAAGCAGGAUGUCAGCGGUUCGAGUCCGCUUACCUCCACUGAUUACCACCUCUUCCAUAAUCGGUAGAAAGGAAAUGUUUUGAGUUGUGAUCAAAUUCUGAACGAAUCUAGCUUCCUAAUGUAAUUAUUAAGAUGCUGGACUCAUUGAAUUAUUUUCAUUGUUUUCAGAGAACCUUGACAACUGCAUAGAUUAUUUUUAAAGACAAUAAGCAUCUUUAAUGAUGCAGAUUUAUUAUUUUUGCUAAUGCAUUAAUAACAAUUCUAUUAAGCUGAUGCUUCAAUUAUUGAAGUUAUU